Molecule: ribosomal RNA, 433 nt
Filed under: uncultured bacterium
Lineage: Bacteria
Description: partial 16S ribosomal RNA
Rfam family: Bacterial small subunit ribosomal RNA
Source: RNAcentral
AACGAACGCUGGCGGCAUGCCUAACACAUGCAAGUCGAACGAGACCUUCGGGUCUAGUGGCGCACGCGUGCGUAACGCGUGGGAACCUGCCCUUAGGUUCGGAAUAACUCCCCGAAAGGGGUGCUAAUACCGGAUAAUGUCUUCGGACCAAAGAUUUAUCGCCUUUGGAUGGGCCCGCGUUGGAUUAGCUAGUUGGUAGGGUAAAAGCCUACCAAGGCGACGAUCCAUAGCUGGUCUGAGAGGAUGAUCAGCCACACUGGGACUGAGACACGGCCCAGACUCCUACGGGAGGCAGCAGUGGGGAAUAUUGGACAAUGGGCGAAAGCCUGAUCCAGCAAUGCCGCGUGAGUGAUGAAGGCCUUAGGGUUGUAAAGCUCUUUUACCCGGGAUGAUAAUGACAGUACCGUGAGAAUAAGCUCCGGCUAACUCCGUG